UCCUGGCUCAGGAUGAACGCUGGCGGCAUGCCUAACACAUGCAAGUCGAACGAAGCACAUGACGAAGCUUGCUUAAGAUUGUGACUUAGUGGCGGACGGGUGAGUAACGCGUGAGUAACCUGCCUUUCACAGGGGGAUAACGUUUGGAAACGAACGCUAAUACCGCAUAACAUAGCGAGGUCGCAUGGCUUUGCUAUCAAAGAUUUUAUCGGUGAAAGAUGGACUCGCAUCCGAUUAGGUAGUUGGUGAGGUAACGGCCCACCAAGCCGACGAUCGGUAGCCGGACUGAGAGGUUGAACGGCCACAUUGGGACUGAGACACGGCCCAGACUCCUACGGGAGGCAGCAGUGGGGAAUAUUGCACAAUGGGCGCAAGCCUGAUGCAGCAACGCCGCGUGAGGGAAGACGGUUUUCGGAUUGUAAACCUCUGUCUUUGGUGACGAAGAAGUGACGGUAGCCAAGGAGGAAGCCACGGCUAACUACGUG
RNAcentral lists this ribosomal RNA (485 nucleotides) under uncultured bacterium. Its description in RNAcentral is "bacterial SSU rRNA". It matches the Rfam family "Bacterial small subunit ribosomal RNA", at positions 17 to 507 of the family's 1533-position model. The record is from RNAcentral.